Molecule: ribosomal RNA, 403 nt
Filed under: Verrucomicrobiota bacterium
Lineage: Bacteria; Pseudomonadati; Verrucomicrobiota
Description: Verrucomicrobia bacterium partial 16S ribosomal RNA
Rfam family: Bacterial small subunit ribosomal RNA
Source: RNAcentral
UGGGGAAUAUUGCACAAUGGGCGCAAGCCUGAUGCAGCAACGCCGCGUGAACGAUGAAGGUCUUCGGAUCGUAAAGUUCUGUUGCAGGGGAAGAUAAUGACGGUACCCUGUGAGGAAGCCCCGGCUAACUACGUGCCAGCAGCCGCGGUAAUACGUAGGGGGCUAGCGUUAUCCGGAUUUACUGGGCGUAAAGGGUGCGUAGGUGGUCUUUCAAGUCGGUGGUUAAAGGCUACGGCUCAACCGUAGUUAGCCUCCGAAACUGGAAGACUUGAGUGCAGGAGAGGAAAGUGGAAUUCCCAGUGUAGCGGUGAAAUGCGUAGAUAUUGGGAGGAACACCAGUAGCGAAGGCGGCUUUCUGGUCUGUAACUGACGCUGAGGCUCGAAAGCGUGGGGAGCGAACAGG